This 30-nucleotide unclassified non-coding RNA is filed under the name Dictyostelium discoideum. Lineage: Eukaryota; Evosea; Eumycetozoa; Dictyosteliales; Dictyosteliaceae. The record is from RNAcentral.
CCUCGGGUUCGUUUCCCGAAUGGGGAGCCA